CUACUCCUACGGGACGCAGCAGUGGGGAAUAUUGGGCAAUGGGCGCAAGCCUGACCCAGCAACGCCGCGUGAAGGAAGAAGGCUUUCGGGUUGUAAACUUCUUUUAAGAGGGAAGAGCAGAAGACGGUACCUCUUGAAUAAGCCACGGCUAACUACGUGCCAGCAGCCGCGGUAAUACGUAGGUGGCAGGCGUUAUCCGGAUUUACUGGGUGUAAAGGGCGUGUAGGCGGGACUGCAAGUCAGAUGUGAAAACCAUGGGCUCAACCCAUGGCCUGCAUUUGAAACUGUAGUUCUUGAGUGUUGGG
RNAcentral lists this ribosomal RNA (305 nucleotides) under uncultured bacterium. RNAcentral's name for it is "bacterial SSU rRNA". It matches the Rfam family "Bacterial small subunit ribosomal RNA", at positions 333 to 653 of the family's 1533-position model. The record is from RNAcentral.